This is a long non-coding RNA of Gossypium raimondii (Peruvian cotton), 569 nucleotides long. RefSeq lists it as uncharacterized. The record is from RefSeq and is a predicted model, not a curated record. Lineage: Eukaryota; Viridiplantae; Streptophyta; Magnoliopsida; Malvales; Malvaceae. The transcript has 2 exons.
AACAAAACCUAAAACCUAAAUCAUUUCUCAAAAAAACCUAAAGAAACUCUAAGGUUUCUGCGUCGUUCUGUACUGAGGGCAUGCGAACGGCUUCCGAACCUAGCCCAUACUCCGAUGACAACGGAGAGGGUCGGGAUCUCGCUGCCAGUAUGCGUGGGUGCGUAACCCUUACAGAUUCUGUUUAAUGGCCUAUAUAGCCGAAAAGAAAAUGCCGAGAAAAUCAAAAUCUCCAACUUUUCUUUUUUUUUACAACUGUUAUCUGUCGUUUUUUGUUCGUUUCUGCUUGUUUGUUUGUCGUUCUUGCAGGUACGGCCGUACGGAGGAGCGUGGCGUGGAGGUGCGCGUGUGGGAGGCCACUGUUGCGGCUGCUGGAGCUAUUGCUGCUAGGGUUUGCGUUUAGGGAAUGUUUCGGGCUAGGUUGGGCUGUGUUAGGCUUUGGGCUAGGCUAGUGUUUGAAUAGUUUAGGCAUUGGGUUUCUGUUAAUUGGACUUUGGGUAUGUAAUUUUGGGUUUUUUAAAUUGGGUCAAUGUAAUGGACAUUUAGACUUUAUUUAUUUAUUUAUUCUGAAA